Long non-coding RNA from Tympanuchus pallidicinctus (lesser prairie-chicken), 387 nucleotides. RefSeq lists it as uncharacterized. The record is from RefSeq and is a predicted model, not a curated record. The transcript is spliced from 3 exons. Lineage: Eukaryota; Metazoa; Chordata; Aves; Galliformes; Phasianidae.
AAGACCUGGCUACCAGUAGAGAAGGAUCUUUUCUGGUGAUCUGCUUUGCUGGUGUUUUGUGAGCGAGCCCAGGAUAGGGGAAGCUCAGUGUGGUCACUAAUCAUCAAGCAGAAAUGGAGACACAGAGGGCAAAGAGCAUGUUCUUGGCUCACGCGGGAUGAAUCCCCCUGACUCAGGCUGGUCUCUGUAUUGGCUCUGUGCAGCACACAGCAGUCACAACAGAAGGCCAAGCAGAUUUGCCAGGCACCAUAAGCUUCCCUGCCUACGAGGCAUGACUGUCAGCUACUCAGCCUUUCCAGGGGAGAAAGAAAUGAUUCCACAGUUCCACAUGGCAAGUUUGAUGCGUAUCCUUCACCUGAUGUGCCAGUUCCAGACUGAGCAAUCAGU